CCUACGGGUGGCAGCAGGGAGGAAUAUUGGGCAAUGGGCGCGAGCCUGAACCAGCCAAGUAGCGUGAAGGAUGACGGCCCUACGGGUUGUAAACUUCUUUUAUAAAGGAAUAAAGUGAGGCACGUGUGCCUUUUUGCAUGUACCUUAUGAAUAAGCAUCGGCUAACUCCGUGCCAGCAGCCGCGGUAAUACGGAGGAUCCGAGCGUUAUCCGGAUUUAUUGGGUUUAAAGGGAGCGUAGGUGGGUUGUUAAGUCAGUUGUGAAAGUUUGCGGCUCAACCGUAAAAUUGCCUUUGAUACUGGGAGCCUUGAGUGCAGUUGAGGUAGGCGGAAUUCGUGGUGUAGCGGUGAAAUGCUUAGAUAUCACGAAGAACUCCGAUUGCGAAGGCAGCUUACUAAACUGCAACUGACAUUGAUGCACGAAAGUGUGGGUAUCAAACAGGAUUAGAUACCCUUGUAGUC
This 460-nucleotide ribosomal RNA is filed under the name uncultured bacterium. RNAcentral describes it as "partial 16S ribosomal RNA". It matches the Rfam family "Bacterial small subunit ribosomal RNA", at positions 338 to 795 of the family's 1533-position model. The record is from RNAcentral.